UGAGGGUGCCUGGUGGGGCACGGUCAGGACAAUGGAAGAGAGCUGAGAUGAAGCACUGUAGCCGUGGCAGCAGAGGAG
RNAcentral lists this microRNA precursor (78 nucleotides) under Sorex araneus (European shrew). RNAcentral's name for it is "miRNA (ENSSARG00000017367.1)". Lineage: Eukaryota; Metazoa; Chordata; Mammalia; Eulipotyphla; Soricidae. The record is from RNAcentral.